This 446-nucleotide ribosomal RNA is filed under the name uncultured bacterium. RNAcentral describes it as "partial 16S ribosomal RNA". It matches the Rfam family "Bacterial small subunit ribosomal RNA", at positions 338 to 795 of the family's 1533-position model. The record is from RNAcentral.
CCUACGGGCGACAGCAGUCGAGAAUCAUUCACAAUGGGGGAAACCCUGAUGGUGCGACGCCGCGUGGGGGAAUGCAGGUCUUCGGAUUGUAAACCCCUGUCAUGUGGGAGCAAAUUAAAAAGAUAGUACCACAAGAGGAAGAGACGGCUAACUCUGUGCCAGCAGCCGCGGUAAUACAGAGGUCUCAAGCGUUGUUCGGAAUCACUGGGCGUAAAGGGUGCGUAGGCUGUUUCGUAAGUCGUGUGUGAAAGGCGCGGGCUCAACCCGCGGACGGCACAUGAUACUGCGAGACUAGAGUAAUGGAGGGGGAAGCGGAAUUCUUGGUGUAGCAGUGAAAUGCGUAGAUAUCGAGAAGAACACUCGUGGCGAAGGCAGGUUCCUGGACAUUAACUGACGCUGAGGCACGAAGGCCAGGGGAGCGAAAGGGAUUAGAUACCCUAGUAGUC